UUUCCAGACUCCUACGGGAGGCAGCAGUGGGGAAUAUUGCACAAUGGGCGAAAGCCUGAUGCAGCGACGCCGCGUGAGUGAAGAAGUAUUUCGGUAUGUAAAGCUCUAUCAGCAGGGAAGAAAAUGACGGUACCUGACUAAGAAGCCCCGGCUAACUACGUGCCAGCAGCCGCGGUAAUACGGAGGAUGCGAGCGUUAUCCGGAUUUAUUGGGUUUAAAGGGUGCGUAGGCGGGCUGUUAAGUCAGCGGUCAAAUGUCGGGGCUCAACCCCGGCCUGCCGUUGAAACUGGCGGCCUCGAGUGGGCGAGAAGUAUGCGGGAUGCGUGGUGUAGCGGUGAAAUGCAUAGAUAUCACGCAGAACUCCGAUUGCGAAGGCAGCAUACCGGCGCCCGACUGACGCUGAGGCACGAAAGCGUGGGUAUCGAACAGGAUUAGAUACCCCAGUAGAU
This 449-nucleotide ribosomal RNA is filed under the name uncultured bacterium. Its description in RNAcentral is "bacterial SSU rRNA". It matches the Rfam family "Bacterial small subunit ribosomal RNA", at positions 328 to 795 of the family's 1533-position model. The record is from RNAcentral.